RNAcentral lists this non-coding RNA (21 nucleotides) under Arabidopsis thaliana (thale cress). The record is from RNAcentral. Lineage: Eukaryota; Viridiplantae; Streptophyta; Magnoliopsida; Brassicales; Brassicaceae.
UUUGUAGGGCCAAUAACAAAU